This 73-nucleotide microRNA precursor is filed under the name Poecilia formosa (Amazon molly). RNAcentral describes it as "miRNA (ENSPFOG00000021122.1)". The record is from RNAcentral. Lineage: Eukaryota; Metazoa; Chordata; Actinopteri; Cyprinodontiformes; Poeciliidae.
GGUCCUGGUCCUGGUCCCGGUCCCGGUCCGGUCCUGGUCCUGGUCCUGGUUCUGGUCCUGGUCCUGGUCCGGC